RNAcentral lists this ribosomal RNA (435 nucleotides) under Triticum aestivum (bread wheat). RNAcentral's name for it is "partial small subunit ribosomal RNA". The record is from RNAcentral. Lineage: Eukaryota; Viridiplantae; Streptophyta; Magnoliopsida; Poales; Poaceae.
AUGUGCGAGCUCUUGAGGAUUUCACCUCCAAGCUUAGACUCUCAGAAGACUUGUCUUCCUCCCAAGAUUCCUCUAAAGUUGAAUCUAGUUUCCAUGCUACUUCACACAAAGGAGCUAGGGACAGUGAGACUAUUGGGGACUGGGACCGUGCAUGAUGGACUCGACUAUCUUAAUGAAGGAAGUGAUGAGGUUGCUUUUGUGUUAUGCUUGUCUCCUAGUCAAGAACUACUACUAUACCAUCACAGGCUUGGGCAUCUCUCUUUUGCUACACUGUUUCUUAUUUACCCCUCUCUUUUCAAAUUGUCUCCUAGGGAGAUCCUUGCAUGUGAUGCUUGUGAAUUGGCUAAACAUACAAGGGGUUUAUAUGCUAGUAUAGGAUUAAGAAGUGGCAAAACCAUUUGGAAUGAUUCAUUCAGACAUUUGGGGACCCUGUGA